AUUUUACGGCUCUGGAUACAAGUCCUUUUUAGCCCAACAUAAGAUACAAAACCUAAAAAAAAAAUUAUAAUUUCUUCCCAGUGUUAGAAAUAAAUUUAUAUAAAAUCUUGUAUAGUGCAGGCCUUGAUAAGAUCUCUUCUAGAGACUUCGGUACUUCAUUAAUAUGCUCUUGAAUCUCGUGAAUGAGUAAUAAUCUGUCGAGUCCGUAUUUUCUACAUUUGAAUAUAAUAUGAUUCAAAUCUUCGUCUUCAUUGCAGUGAGGACAUUUUGGGUUGUGAACCAUUUUCAUUCUGUAUAGGUAAAUAACCAGAUAAAAGUCGGUUAAAGUCUACAUAAGGGCCUGGUGUAACUGAUUCAACAACUUUGGGAGACUUUGCCUGGUAUGCCAAUAUCAUCAAGAAUGUGAAUCAUGAUUGAAGGGUCAACAUUAUCAAAUGCACCCUGGAUAUCUAAGAAAGCACAUACUGUAAAGGAAUGGCUAUGGAAAGAAUUUUUUAUAUCUGCAAUUAAGGCAGUAAAACUUUCAGCAGCGCUCCUGCCUUUCCGGAAACCAAAUUGUUGAGAAGGAGGGGACAAUGGAGCAUAUUUUUCAAUAAAUGAUGGUAUCCAUUCAUCAUUUUUUGGGGAUUUAUGUACAGAUUCAGAAUGAAACUUGGACCAAUCUGCUUUAGAAUAAAUAUACUGUUCUGUGGGAAGUCCUAUAUCAUAUUUUUCUAUAGAUGUUUGGAUAUCAAUAAUAGUAGGAUAAUGGUAACUGCCCAUUGGAUCGUCAUGGACUCUCCAUUCGCAUAAUGGUGCUACAGAUGGACUAAUAACAGAAAUAUCUAUUGCAGACGGUUGAUGAGUAGAAGUACCAACUGUAGUUGGAGAACCUGUGUUUAAUAUGCAUAGAUCAAAUUCAUCACACAUAUUAUAAAUUUCAGUGCCUCUACUGUUAGUAUUGUUACAGCCAAAGGCUACAUGAUGAGCAUUUAGAUCACCUGCCAGCAUUACUGGUUUAGGAAGCCUUUGUAGUAUUUGUUUAAGUUUAUUAACUAUAAAACGGCCUCUACCACUUUUUGGUGGGGGACAAUAUGUACAUAAUAUAGAUAGGUUACCUAAUUGUGUUUUUAAUAUUAUAGCUACAGAUUGCAUAAAGUCAUAAAAAGGUGUGGGAACAAUUGUAUAUUUAAAAUCGUUUUUUAUUAAUAUACCUACACCUCCAUAUCCACCUAUACCAUUUUGACUUACAUAGUUAUAACCAGGCAUGUUAAAGUGGCAAUUCUCUCUCAACCAUGUUUCAUUUAGUAAGCAAAUAUCUAUAUAAUUCUCAUGAAUAUAAUUAAUAAGUAAAGGUUUUUUAUUAUACAUACUUUGUAUAUUGAAUUGAGAUAUUCUAAUAAAUGACUUA
Molecule: long non-coding RNA, 1390 nt
Organism: Achroia grisella
Lineage: Eukaryota; Metazoa; Arthropoda; Insecta; Lepidoptera; Pyralidae
Exons: 5
Source: RefSeq, a predicted model, not a curated record